CGUUCGUUCGCUUCUGUCCCGCGAAAAACGUUGUGCGCGUGUGUGUGCGUGCUCUCUUCUAGUUGCUCCGCGUUGUUUUGUUCUACGGGCCAGCUAGGCUAGUCGUUCGAUCUAUCUAGGCUCCAACUCUCGCAGAGCGUGCGAGGGCAUGUGUGCUCAAUUCUUAGUGCUAUUCCAUAUGUGCAACUAUUUACCGUAAAAUAAAAUCAAGUGGAAAAGACACGCGAGAAAAGUGAAACAAGAAAACAAAAGUGCAGCAAUUGCUGACGCUCUCUGGCAUGCACUCGCUUUAAUUUUGUGCUUCCUGUGGAAUUAACGGAGAGCAAAGGCAAAGCGUAAUACAGAAACGAGAGCGACAUCAACAAGUGGAGGCAGGCCAGACCAGACGCAACUUUCUUCAGCCAAAAGCCGGCUGAGCGGGAGCCAGCCAUCCAUCAAAAGCGGGCGUAGAAGAAGAAAAACGUGCAAAGAGGAAGCUGAGAUCAGGAGAGGAGAUCAUACUGCGCGCUCUUCUUGUUUUGACUCUGGAAUUUCUUCAAAAUGGCUUCGUUUGCUCCAUUGAUCAUCGUUUCCGUGGCGGCUGUUGUUUCUGCAAGCCGCCUGGAGGAUGCGUUUCUGUUUUGAUAGGCUGUGCUUCGCAACCAAGCGGCCAGCCACAAACAACAAUCGCCAAAGCAGCAGCCACAGCACAAAUGAACCACAGUGCACCAGCACCUGCACCACCGCCGAGAGCCAUAGCCACAGCCAUAGCCAUAGCCCACCUAGCACCACCACAGAUGCAGCAG
This is a long non-coding RNA of Drosophila persimilis, 785 nucleotides long. RefSeq lists it as uncharacterized. The record is from RefSeq and is a predicted model, not a curated record. The transcript has 3 exons. Lineage: Eukaryota; Metazoa; Arthropoda; Insecta; Diptera; Drosophilidae.